GGAUGUGAGGGUGAUCUGGCUGCAACAUCUGUCAGCCCAUUGAUCGCCUGGGUUGAUUCGGCUGAUCAGGCUGGUUAGGAAAGUGUCUUUUUACUCCCUCACCACUUCACAUGCUUCCCUCCAGAAGCUCACAUUCGGUGGAAGAGGAUGGCCUUCCCCCACUAGAGGAGAACCAGUCUUCAGUCAAAGGUAUAUGAGUAGCUGUGUUCCCCUGCUAGAACCUUCAAACUGCCUGCCAUCCUGCAUAUAAAAACUGUGAGAUAUUGGGGCUCAACACUCGGGCUUGGGAAGUUAUUUCCUGAGUCCAUGUCAGCAUGAAUAAAUCU
This 326-nucleotide small nuclear RNA is filed under the name Jaculus jaculus (lesser Egyptian jerboa). RNAcentral describes it as "7SK RNA (ENSJJAG00000005459.1)". It matches the Rfam family "7SK RNA". From Rfam's summary of the family: 7SK was discovered as an abundant small nuclear RNA in the mid-70s but a possible function has only recently been suggested. Two independent studies have found that 7SK RNA binds the CDK9/cyclin T complex (known as elongation factor P-TEFb). The record is from Rfam by way of RNAcentral. Lineage: Eukaryota; Metazoa; Chordata; Mammalia; Rodentia; Dipodidae.